This is a long non-coding RNA of Vidua chalybeata, 369 nucleotides long. RefSeq lists it as uncharacterized. NCBI's taxonomy places the organism in Eukaryota, Metazoa, Chordata, Aves, Passeriformes, Viduidae. The record is from RefSeq and is a predicted model, not a curated record. The transcript has 4 exons.
GCAAGGUGUAGACAAUGGAGUUUUUUGGGAGACCCAUCCAUAGUGAUUGGCUUUUGAGGAUAUCCUUCAGGCUUGAUGAUCUCCUGGAAGCCAACCUGACUCCUUUCCUGUAAGGCAUUAUUGGACCAGUUUGGGAAAGAGGACUUUGGGUGAUGGAUUGGCUGCCUUUGCCUGCCCAAGGAAAAAUGGAAUAAAUGGAGAGCAUACUUGGAAUAUCUGCUGAGUGUCAAAACAGGAUGUUCUGCCAUGGAUAAAGGUCUGUCUCGCAGGAAUGUUCUUCUGUGUGGAGUCUCUGAAACGAGUCCAAGAGCACUUUCGUCUGUUCCUGAUGCUAUACAGGAUAAAGGAAAAUCAGGGAUCACAUUGCUU